RNAcentral lists this ribosomal RNA (498 nucleotides) under uncultured bacterium. RNAcentral's name for it is "partial 16S ribosomal RNA". It matches the Rfam family "Bacterial small subunit ribosomal RNA", at positions 28 to 507 of the family's 1533-position model. The record is from RNAcentral.
GACGAACGCUGGCGGCGUGCCUAAUACAUGCAAGUCGAGCGGACGGAUGGGAGCUUGCUCCCAGACCGUCAGCGGCGGACGGGUGAGUAACACGUGGGCAACCUGCCUGUAAGACUGGGAUAACUCCGGGAAACCGGGGCUAAUACCGGAUAACUCUUUCCUUCCCAUGAGGGAAAGCUGAAAGAUGGCAUCUCGCUAUCACUUACAGAUGGGCCCGCGGCGCAUUAGCUAGUUGGUGAGGUAACGGCUCACCAAGGCGACGAUGCGUAGCCGGCCUGAGAGGGUGAUCGGCCACACUGGGACUGAGACACGGCCCAGACUCCUACGGGAGGCAGCAGUGGGGAAUCUUGCGCAAUGGACGAAAGUCUGAUGCAGCAACGCCGCGUGAGUGAUGAAGGUUUUCGGAUCGUAAAACUCUGUUGUCAGGAAAGAACAAGUACCGGAGUAACUGCCGGUACCUUGACGGUACCUGACCAGAAAGCCACGGCUAACUACGUG